RNAcentral lists this small nucleolar RNA (101 nucleotides) under Macaca mulatta (Rhesus monkey). Its description in RNAcentral is "Small nucleolar RNA U13 (ENSMMUG00000053469.1)". It matches the Rfam family "Small nucleolar RNA U13". RNAcentral also lists the same sequence under 1 other name. The record is from Rfam by way of RNAcentral. Lineage: Eukaryota; Metazoa; Chordata; Mammalia; Primates; Cercopithecidae.
AUCCUUUUGGAAGUCAUAAGUGUGAUUGGGUUUUCAUGCCCUUGUGUCAAACGUGUCUCCCUCAAACCGUGUUACAAAGUGGGCACACUACCUGCCUGACG